CCCAGCCGUGGCCGCCGCAGCCUUUUAAGGUCUCCAAAUGCAAGGAGCUGGGGCCCCAAUGGGAAGGAGAUGUUGUGUCCCCACUGUCCCCAUGUGGCCUGCCUGCCUCAAGGGCAAUCCAAAGAGCCAAAGAGCAGCCAGGAGGAAAUCCUUGGGUGCCAGGAAUGGGUUCUGCCUUGCCAAAUAGAUGGCAGAGACUCUGAUAUGGGAGCCUGGCUGCAUGGCUGUGUGUCCCUCACUGGAGCCCCAGGACAAUAGGGUACAGGGGCAGGGGCACCUCAGUGGGUCACAUAGCCUCAGCACCUCCCUGGUGCAUGGGGUGUGAGCCAGUGAGCAGGAUUCUAGAGCCUCCGGGAAUGCUCUGGGACCUUGGGCAUGGAUGCAGCUGUGGGCCGUGUGGGUGCUGGUGGAGACACUCAUGCAUGCUUGGUUGCAGAGUUUCCCUGACUUGGGCCAGGAUGGAGUCCUCCCUGCUCCCCUAUUUAUGUGUGUAUUUAAGCAGGUUUGUCCCCCCAGGCCCUCCCCAGAGCUGCUGAACCACAGAUGUCUGGGUCACCACAGUGGACCAGGAUUCCAGGAUGCCUUGGGGUCUACCCAGACUUUGGAGAGAUUUACACAGGGGCCAGCAGAUUUUUUGUCACAUCCACCUCAAAGGGUCCUAGAGGAAUGAGAGCUGCAGAACUCUCGGACCUUUCAAACUGCUCCUAGAGGUGGGCAGAUUUAUGUUAUUAAAGUUUCCUUAUAGACAAAUGUCAAAGCCAUCUAAUUCACAUUUUCAUGUUGGAGCCAGUGAGUGUCCUCGAGGACCCAUAUGCUGCACCCUGGGCAGAUGUAUGAAGAAACUGGAGAUGAGAAUGCCUUGGCUAUUUGUCUUCUGUUAUGGUUUAUAUCUAGAUGCCCACCCCCCAAGCCUCAUGUGCUCAGGCAGACCUUUUGGAAGGUGACUGGAUCAGGCAGGGUACUAUACUUGUAGGUGGAUUAAUCCACUGAUGUGUUUAUAGCUAAACGUGCUGUUAGGAGGUGGGGUCUGGUUGGAAUAAAUAAUAAAUGAAUAUGUUCUUUCAUGAGGACAAAUAUCAUUCUGAGGAGCAAUUGUAAUUACAAAUUUACUUUCAGCUAUUCCAUAUAUUGGUACUACCCUGACUGAAUGAAUCUGAGGAAGGUUUUCAGUAGACAAAGCAACCUUAUCAUGAUUCUUUGCUUUCCACUUUAUUUUAUCAUUUAUCAUUGCAGGUUUAACCAUAAUUCACCUUUCAUUCCUUCGCAAAACUGAAUCAAACAAUCCCUCAGGAAUAAACUUGGAUUCAGAUAAAAUUCCAUUCCACCCAUUUUAUUCAUCAAAGAUAUUUUAGGGCUCCUACUAAUAUUUUUUAACUGUACUAAUUCUUGUUUUGUUUUCACCAGAUCUUUUAGAAGACCCAGAGAAUUAUAUUUACCUAGAUAAAUAUAUACCUACAAACCCCCUUAAUACACUCCCGCAUAUUAAACCAGAAUGAUAUUUCUUAUUCACAUAUGCUAUUCUACAUUCAAUUCUUAAUAAACUAGGAGUAUUAACUCUAGUAUUUUCUUUCUUUCUUUUUUUUUUUGGUACCGGGGAUCGAACUCAGGUCCUUGCUCUUGCGCAGCAGGCUGCGAAACCACUGAGCUAAAUCCCCAGCCAACUCUAGUAUUUUCAAUUCUCAUCCUAGCAAUUAUUCCAGCUCUUCACAUAUCAAAACAACAAAGUAUAACAUUCCGACCCUUUAGCCAAUGUUUAUUCUGAAUUUUAGUAGCUAACCUUCUUGUUCUUACUUAUUUGAAUUGGAGGGCAACCAGUUGAAUACCCAUUUAUUAUAAUUGGAUAACUAAUACCAAUUUUAUAUUUCUAUAUCAUUUUAAUCCUUAUACCUCUUACAAGUAUAGAAAACAAAUUACUCAAAUGAAGAGCCCUUGUAGUAUAGUCAUUACUUUGGUCUUGUAAACUGAAAAUGGAGACCCUGUCUCUCCAGGACAAAAUUCAAAGAAGAAGCACAAAGCUCCACCCAAAGCUGAAAUUCUUAUUAAACU
This 2046-nucleotide long non-coding RNA is filed under the name Heterocephalus glaber (naked mole-rat). RNAcentral's name for it is "lncRNA (ENSHGLG00100040935.1)". Lineage: Eukaryota; Metazoa; Chordata; Mammalia; Rodentia; Bathyergidae. The record is from RNAcentral.